UUGAUUGUUAAUUUAAGAGUUUC
This 23-nucleotide non-coding RNA is filed under the name Arabidopsis thaliana (thale cress). Lineage: Eukaryota; Viridiplantae; Streptophyta; Magnoliopsida; Brassicales; Brassicaceae. The record is from RNAcentral.